UUUCCGGUUGAUCCUGCCGGACCUGACUGCUAUCGGAUUGGUACUAAGCCAUGCGAGUCAUUGUAGCAAUACAAGGCGGACGGCUCAGUAACACGUAGUCAACCUAACUCGUGGACGCGGAUAACCUCGGGAAACUGAGAAUAAACCGCGAUAGAUCAUUAUGCCUGGAAUGGCUUAUGGUCUAAACAGUUUACUGCCAUGGGAUGGGACUGCGGCCUAUCAGCUUGUUGGUGAGGUAAUGGCCCACCAAGGCUAUAACAGGUACGGGCUCUGAGAGGAGAAGCCCGGAGAUGGGCACUGAGACAAGGGCCCAGGCCCUAUGGGGCGCAGCAGGCGCGAAACCUCUGCAAUAGGCGAAAGCCUGACAGGGUUACUCUGAGUGAUUUCCGCUAAGGGGAUCUUUCGGCACCUCUAAAAAUGGUGCAGAAUAAGGGGUGGGCAAGUCUGGUGUCAGCCGCCGCGGUAAUACCAGCACCCCGAGUGGUCGGGACGAUUAUUGGGCCUAAGCAUCCGAAGCCGGUACUGCAAGUCUUCCGUUAAAUCCACCUGCUCAACAGUUGGGCUGCGGAGGAUACUACAGCGCUAGGAGGCGGGAGAGGC
This 600-nucleotide ribosomal RNA is filed under the name uncultured archaeon. Its description in RNAcentral is "bacterial SSU rRNA". It matches the Rfam family "Archaeal small subunit ribosomal RNA", at positions 1 to 609 of the family's 1478-position model. The record is from RNAcentral.